Molecule: non-coding RNA, 255 nt
Organism: Cinara cedri
Lineage: Eukaryota; Metazoa; Arthropoda; Insecta; Hemiptera; Aphididae
Source: the annotation of a GenBank genome assembly
AAAAUGUUUGAUUCCUAAAAAAAAAUUUAACAUUAAGUUCAUACGGAUGGUUUUAUUUCAGUUUAAGUAAACUUAACAAUUAAUUCAUAAAUAUUUUAAAACUCCCCGGUGAACUCGAAGCAAUAGCUACGCUUUCAGAACUAGCCUCUGUAUUGUCUUGCUCCUUUUUAACAACGCGCAUAGACUUGUCGAUAGAUUUAACAUUAAAUAUAUUUUCCUGACAAUACUGUGUGUACAUAGCUGAAACAGGAUGGA